GUGGUCAGCCAUGCAAUUAAUCCUCAUGAAACCAAAUGUAGUCAUCUAACCUGAAAAAGAAAUGAGAAAAAAAGAAGAAGAAGAAAAAACUCACCUUUAUACCAUCAAAACUUCCAGUAAUUCCCAAGUUUCAACCUUUUUAUAAUUCCCAGAAAGAAAUUCCAAUAAAAUAAUUUUAACACCAGGAUAAACCAACAAAGGAACAAAACACAAUUUUCAGAUUUACAUUCAAAAGUGAUCAGUAAUCAUCAAAAUUACAAUCUAACAAAAAUUCACCUUUUUUUUUUCAAAUUUUCCAGGUAUUCCCAAGUUUCAACCUUUGAUAAUUACCAGCAACAAAUUCCAAUAAAAUAAUUUUUCCUGGGGAAAAAAAAAACCCUAAUUAAGAAAUGGAAUAAAAAGUGAUCAAUGGUCAUCAAAACUACAAUCUAACAGAAACCCUCCAAGAUUCUGUCCUUAGAAGACAAUGCAUGCGUUGCAUGUGGUUAUAUAUAUAUCUAUCAAAUAAAACCCACCAUUAAUUCUGAAAUUCCAGAAGAAAAAACAGAAAUUUAGAGAAAAUGCAAGAGUCGAUUAAAUAUUUAAAUAAAAAGAACCAAAUUGAAAGAUGAUCAGAAAGAGAAAGAUCGAGAGAUCUAAAAGGAAGAAAUUAAAAAACAAAAAAAAAAGGAAAAAAAAAAUUAUCUGCAAGUUAAGAGAGAGAGAAAGAAGUUCCUACGGAAAAUUAC
This 728-nucleotide long non-coding RNA is filed under the name Olea europaea (common olive). RNAcentral describes it as "long non-coding RNA (OEUR_LNC001880)". Lineage: Eukaryota; Viridiplantae; Streptophyta; Magnoliopsida; Lamiales; Oleaceae. The record is from RNAcentral.